GAUGAACGCUGGCGGCGUGCCUAAUACAUGCAAGUCGAGUGAACAGACGAGGAGCUUGCUCCUCUGACGUUAGCGGCGGACGGGUGAGUAACACGUGGAUAACCUACCUAUAAGACUGGGAUAACUUCGGGAAACCGGAGCUAAUACCGGAUAAUAUAUUGAACCGCAUGGUUCAAUAGUGAAAGACGGUUUUGCUGUCACUUAUAGAUGGAUCCGCGCCGCAUUAGCUAGUUGGUAAGGUAACGGCUUACCAAGGCAACGAUGCGUAGCCGACCUGAGAGGGUGAUCGGCCACACUGGAACUGAGACACGGUCCAGACUCCUACGGGAGGCAGCAGUAGGGAAUCUUACGCAAUGGGCGAAAGCCUGACGGAGCAACGCCGCGUGAGUGAUGAAGGUCUUCGGAUCGUAAAACUCUGUUAUUAGGGAAGAACAAAUGUGUAAGUAACUAUGCACGUCUUGACGGUACCUAAUCAGAAAGCCACGGCUAACUACGUG
This 497-nucleotide ribosomal RNA is filed under the name uncultured bacterium. RNAcentral's name for it is "partial 16S ribosomal RNA". It matches the Rfam family "Bacterial small subunit ribosomal RNA", at positions 28 to 507 of the family's 1533-position model. The record is from RNAcentral.